UCUCUUUUUUUCCUUCCCUGGAGGAAGCAGACAAUGCACGGCACAGGGACCUCUACAGGACACCCAGCUCUGGUCUGCAACUUUUGUAAGAUGUUUCUAAGCCUGAAGAAAGAGAAAUGCUUCCCAGACGUGUGGAGGAAAGGAUGAAAACAGGGCUGAGAGAAGACAGGAGAAAAAACAAGUGCUUCUCUACUAUCCUCCCCUUCACUGACACAAUAGUCAUGUACACGGCACUAUGCCAGGCACUGCGGGAGGCAAAAGUAUAGGCUACAGAAUUCCUAAGGACAAUCUGGCAGGGGAGAUGAGAAACAUCUCAAGUAAACUAACACAAGAAUAUUGAAAAACAGCAUGACCCAGUGGAAAAAGCAACAGGCUUAAGAGUCAGAAGACCUAAGUUUAAAAACCCAGCUCUGCCACUUAAUAGUUGUGUUAUUGGGCACUCUUACUCUGUGUCUCAGUGUCCUUAUCUACGAAAUAAAGGGGUUGGACUAGAUGA
Phascolarctos cinereus (koala) is the source of this 496-nucleotide long non-coding RNA. RefSeq lists it as uncharacterized. The record is from RefSeq and is a predicted model, not a curated record. Lineage: Eukaryota; Metazoa; Chordata; Mammalia; Diprotodontia; Phascolarctidae.